RNAcentral lists this ribosomal RNA (1507 nucleotides) under metagenome. Its description in RNAcentral is "bacterial SSU rRNA". It matches the Rfam family "Bacterial small subunit ribosomal RNA". The record is from RNAcentral.
GAUUCUGGCUCAGAACGAACGCUGGUAGUGUGGAUUAGGCAUGCAAGUCGAACGGGAACCCCGAGUAUAGCAAUAUAUUUGGGGGGAUAGUGGCGAAAGGGCGAGAAACACGUGGGCAAUCUACCUCUAAGUUGGGGAUAACCCGCCGAAAGGCGGGCUAAUACCGAAUGUGGUGGUUCGUCGCAUGACGGAUUGACCAAAGGCGGGGACUUUAGGGCCUGCCGCUUGGAGAGGAGCCCGCGCCCCAUCAGCUAGUUGGUAGGGUAACGGCCUACCAAGGCUUACGGGUAGCUGGUCUGAGAGGAUGACCAGCCGCACUGGGACUGAGACACUGCCCAGACUCCUACGGGAGGCUGCAGUCGAGGAUCUUUUGCAAUGGGCGAAAGCCUGACAAAGCGACACUGCGUGGAGGACGAAGGCCUUCGGGUCGUAAACUCCUGUCAUUCGGGAAAAACGAGCAUCCGGCUAAUAUCCGGAUGAAGUGAUGGUACCGGAAGAGGAAGCCACGGCCAACUCUGUGCCAGCAGCCGCGGUAAUACAGAGGUGGCUAGCGUUGUUCGGAUUUACUGGGCGUAAAGGGUGCGUAGGUGGUGUGGUGUGUCGGGCGUGAAAUCCCACGGCUCAACCGUGGAACGCCGUCCGAAACUGCCAUGCUAGAGUGCGGGAGGGGAGAGCGGAAUUCUCGGUGUAGCGGUGAAAUGUGUUGAUAUCGAGAGGAACACCGGUGGCGAAGGCGCUCUCUGGAACGCAACUGACACUGAGGCACGAAAGAUGGGGGAGCAAACAGGAUUAGAUACCCUGGUAGUCCCAUCCCUAAACGGUGUGAACUUGGUGUGGGGAGAAUUGACCCUCUCCGUACCGGAGCUAACGCGUUAAGUUCACCGCCUGGGAAGUACGGUCGCAAGAUUAAAACUCAAAGAAAUUGACGGGGGCCCGCACAAGCGGAGGAGCAUGUGGCUCAAUUCGAUGCAACGCGAGGAACCUUACCAGGGCUUGACAUGCAGGUGCAUUUCCGCUGAAAGGUGGAAAGCCUUAGGGUCCUGCACAGGUGCUGCAUGGCUGUCGUCAGUUCGUGCCGUGAGGUGUUGGGUUAAGUCCCGCAACGAACGCAACCCUUGUGUCUAGUUGCUAACUCCGAUGAUAAGUCGGAAAGCACUCUAAACAGACUGCCCGUGUAAGCGGGAGGAAGGUGGGGAUGACGUCAAGUCAGUAUGGCCUUUAUGCCCUGGGCUGCACACGUGCUACAAUGGCAGGUACAGAAAGAAGCAAUACCGCGAGGUGGAGCAAAUCUCCAAAACCUGCCCCAGUUCAGAUUGAAGGCUGCAACUCGCCUUCAUGAAGUUGGAUUCGCUAGUAAUGGCGCAUCAGCUACGGCGCCGUGAAUACGUUCCCGGGCCUUGUACACACCGCCCGUCACAUCAUGAAAGCCGUCUGCACCCCAAGUCGCUGUACCAACCUGCAAAGGAGGAAGGCGCCUAAGGUGUGGGUGGUGAUUGGGAUGAAGUCG